GAGAGAGGCACCUGCCUGCGCUGCCCUGGGCCCACACCAGCACUAGUCAUCACAACGAAAUGUAGAAGCGACCCUUUGACAGACGUGAAUGGGUGAGAUGUGGCCUAUACCUCCAUGCGAUUCAGCCUCAAAGGUUCAGGACAAAGGAAGGGAUUUCUGACACCCGCUAUGUGGCCGGACCUGGAGGACGUUAUGGAAAGUGAAAUGAGCCAGUUGCAAGAAAUUAAGUCCUGCAAAUUCCACUCAUGUGAGAAUUCUGGAAGACUUGAGUGGUUGUGACACGGACCAUAUGGCCAGCAAAGCCUGGAGUAAUCGCUCUCCGGCCCUUCGCAGAAGCUGUGUGCCUACCCCAGACGAAGGAAAACCGCCUCGUGGUUCUUGCUCUGCUCCUCACCGUGGACAAAUCAUCCCACCUUGCUGGCACUCGGGCUUCCCAUCUGAAAAAGAUGUGCUGUUUGGAUACAGGGGUGUUGGAGUCGUCUACCGUCUCUAAAAAUCGGGCGAGUCUGGGAAAGCAGUUCG
This is a long non-coding RNA of Neogale vison (American mink), 522 nucleotides long. RefSeq lists it as uncharacterized. Lineage: Eukaryota; Metazoa; Chordata; Mammalia; Carnivora; Mustelidae. The transcript is spliced from 3 exons. The record is from RefSeq and is a predicted model, not a curated record.